Molecule: ribosomal RNA, 560 nt
Filed under: uncultured bacterium
Lineage: Bacteria
Description: bacterial SSU rRNA
Rfam family: Bacterial small subunit ribosomal RNA
Source: RNAcentral
UAGGGAAUCUUCGGCAAUGGACGGAAGUCUGACCGAGCAACGCCGCGUGAGUGAAGAAGGUUUUCGGAUCGUAAAGCUCUGUUGUAAGAGAAGAACGAGUGUGAGAGUGGAAAGUUCACACUGUGACGGUAUCUUACCAGAAAGGGACGGCUAACUACGUGCCAGCAGCCGCGGUAAUACGUAGGUCCCGAGCGUUGUCCGGAUUUAUUGGGCGUAAAGCGAGCGCAGGCGGUUAGAUAAGUCUGAAGUUAAAGGCUGUGGCUUAACCAUAGUACGCUUUGGAAACUGUUUAACUUGAGUGCAAGAGGGGAGAGUGGAAUUCCAUGUGUAGCGGUGAAAUGCGUAGAUAUAUGGAGGAACACCGGUGGCGAAAGCGGCUCUGUGGCUUGUAUGUGACUGUAACUGACGCUGAGGGUCGAAAGCGUGGAGAGCAAACAUGAUUAGAUACCCUGGUAGUCCACGCCGUANACGAUGACUGCUAGGUGUUAGACCCUUUCCGGGGUUUAGUGCCGUAGCUGACGCAUUAAGCACUCCGCCUGGGGAGUACGACCGCAAGGUUG